GGCUGUGAAUGCAGUGUUGCCAGAAUGGAGU
Molecule: non-coding RNA, 31 nt
Filed under: Rattus norvegicus (Norway rat)
Lineage: Eukaryota; Metazoa; Chordata; Mammalia; Rodentia; Muridae
Source: RNAcentral